RNAcentral lists this long non-coding RNA (302 nucleotides) under Canis lupus familiaris (dog). Lineage: Eukaryota; Metazoa; Chordata; Mammalia; Carnivora; Canidae. The record is from RNAcentral.
UCCAUGAUGAGUCAAACUAGCUCACUAUGACUUACACAAUGAAAAUAAGUGAACACCUGAGAAACUGGAGACAGCAGGAGUGGAGGGAUGCUAUGUGGAAGGGCCUUUUUUUAUUCAAUUUGAGGUAAAUGCCUUUAUAACCCUAUUAUUUGGUUGCUAUAAAUUGGGUGGGGGUGGGGGUGUUUGGUGGCACUUUGGUCUUGGUAGUUGUAAGAAGACAUUACUGGUUUACUCCAAAGUUCUGUCUGGCCAUUCUGAACCACUUGCAACAAGCUCCCCCUCACCAGUGAUGAAUUCAAUAC